GACGAACGCUGGCGGCGUGCUUAACACAUGCAAGUCGAACGGGCCUGUCUUCUUUUUUGGGGGGUGGGUUGAGUGGCGAACGGGUGAGUAUCACGUGAGUAACCUGCCCUUCGGUCCUGGAUAACCGCUUGAAAGGGCGGCUAAUACGGGGUGGUCCGGUUGGUCCGCAUGGGCUGGUCGGGAUAGAUUCACUGUUUUUGGUGUUUCGGCGGGGGAUGGGCUCGCGGCCUAUCAGCUUGUUGGUGGGGUGACGGCCUACCAAGGCGGUGACGGGUAGCCGGCCUGAGAGGGUGGGCGGCCACACUGGGACUGAGAUACGGCCCAGACUCCUGCGGGAGGCAGCAGUGGGGGGUAUUGCACAAUGGGCGGAAGCCUGAUGCAGCGACGUCGCGUGAGGGAUGGAGGCCUUCGGGUUGUGAACCUCUGUUUCCGGUGGUGAAGGCCCUGUCCGUGUGGUGGGGUUGACGGUAGCCGGGGAUGAAGCGCCGGCUAACUACGUG
RNAcentral lists this ribosomal RNA (500 nucleotides) under uncultured bacterium. RNAcentral describes it as "partial 16S ribosomal RNA". It matches the Rfam family "Bacterial small subunit ribosomal RNA", at positions 28 to 507 of the family's 1533-position model. The record is from RNAcentral.